Long non-coding RNA from Strigops habroptila (Kakapo), 1535 nucleotides. RefSeq lists it as uncharacterized. Lineage: Eukaryota; Metazoa; Chordata; Aves; Psittaciformes; Psittacidae. The transcript is spliced from 2 exons. The record is from RefSeq and is a predicted model, not a curated record.
CUGGCUCUGGUGAAGCAGCGAACAGAAGCUGCCUCUUCCUUCUGCUCUGGAGAAGGCAAAAGGAAGUUAUCUAUUAGCUGAUCCAAGCUAAGGCUUAAAGUACAAAGAAUCUUUGCAUCACCCCCAUUUUUCCUCUUGCAGAAAGCCCAUCCUUUCUUCUCUAGCAGAUAAUUUGUGCAUGUCGCAUGUGUUCUUUGGAAAUGACUCAUGCUGUGCUCGAUCUUGAUUCUCUUUCUCUGCAGCCUGCCAGGUUUUGUGCUCAUUUCUAAGUGCCCUGUACUUAAACAGCUUGUCCUGGCUGCUAUGCUAUUGUUCUGCACACAUGUGCUAUUGCCGCUAUUGCUGCCGGACUGUUUGUCUUUUGAUUCCAUGUGGCUUGAAGAUUAAGCCUCAAUGAGCUGCACUGUUAAGUUCACAUGAGUUUUCCUCAUCUCUCUGCCUGGCAGGUGACUUUGGCAUCGUUGUGCCUUGUGGGGCUACGUAUGCACUUAGGAAGUUCACAGGGUUCUAAGCUCUCCUUUCCUGGCAAAUGACCUGUAAACAUGCUCUCAAAGCCAAGCAGUUGAUUUCUCUGUUGUCCCCAUGGCCACACGCUGAGGAUCAGCUGUGUGCCACGUUUUUCCCCCCCUUCAGAAUAAUGGGAGAUUUCAAGGAGGUGAAUUGUCAUCCAUUGUUGGAUACCAGUUCUGUUGGGUUUCCUUCUCCGCCGAAAACAGCCGACAGGAAAGUAAUUACAGGAGCAGAUGUGACUUGUGACGUAAAUGUUACUUCUGGCCUUUUUUUUCCUUUAAGUAAUCCAACAGGGUGAUUCCAAAGCAGCAGUGAGACACAUGGGCCUAUGGUGGUCAUUUCCAGCUUUUCCUUGAUUCAGCCACAUCCGGGGACUAUUUGAAAUACCUUAAAAGACAUGUUUUGAAAUGAAAUUAACAAGUAAGUCAUGUUUUCAGAGCAGCUUCAAUAUAUGCAUCCUGCAUGAAUCCCACUGCUCUAUCCAAUGGCUUACUAAUGUCUGUCCUCAGCAAGAUAUUGAAGUGUUGCUUGUAAUUCCUGUGGAGUAAUAAAUCAGUAAGUAUUUUCACGUUUCUCUUAAAGACAAGUUACUUCCACAGUCCUGAAAUAAAGCUGGAUUAAACUAUUUAUCUUUGAAAUCACCUCGUUUUCAGGAUGUCAAGUAAUUUCUGCUGAAUCAGAUGCAGCUGCAACAGACUUUAAUUCCUAAUGAACUCACCUGGCAACAUCCACCCAAAGCUCACAUGGAAAAUGGAUGCAUGGGCUCUUACUGAGUGGGGGAUCAUCAGCCAGCAGCAGGGCCAGGAGUAACAGGUUUCCUGGGUCUCUGGAGCAAGGUGGUGAUUGGCUUCUCCAGAGCAUCUCCAAGAGGAAAGAUUGCUCCUACUGCUCCUGACACUUCAGCCAGAGGUGGAAGAGGCAGAGCAUGCCACUGCAAAGCCAUGCCAAGGGAACAGCAUGCAAUCCACAGUGGGAAUCUACUGUAUCACAGCCAAACCAAUAACAUGGACAGAUCCUUUCUCCAC